This 498-nucleotide ribosomal RNA is filed under the name uncultured bacterium. Its description in RNAcentral is "bacterial SSU rRNA". It matches the Rfam family "Bacterial small subunit ribosomal RNA", at positions 28 to 514 of the family's 1533-position model. The record is from RNAcentral.
GAUGAACGCUAGCUACAGGCUUAACACAUGCAAGUCGAGGGGCAGCAUGAUUGAAGCUUGCUUCAAUUGAUGGCGACCGGCGCACGGGUGAGUAACACGUAUCCAACCUUCCGUACACUCAGGGAUAGCCUUUCGAAAGAAAGAUUAAUACCUGAUGGUAUCUUAAGCACACAUGUAAUUAAGAUUAAAGAUUUAUCGGUGUACGAUGGGGAUGCGUUCCAUUAGGUAGUAGGCGGGGUAACGGCCCACCUAGCCUACGAUGGAUAGGGGUUCUGAGAGGAAGGUCCCCCCACAUUGGAACUGAGACACGGUCCAAACUCCUACGGGAGGCAGCAGUGAGGGAAUAUUGGUCAAUGGACGAGAGUCUGAACCAGCCAAGUAGCGUGAAGGAUGAAGGUCCUACGGAUUGUAAACUUCUUUUAUAAGGGAUAAAGUGAGUCUCGUGAGACUUUUUGCAUGUACCUUAUGAAUAAGGACCGGCUAAUUCCGUGCCAGCAG